Molecule: long non-coding RNA, 641 nt
Filed under: Calidris pugnax (ruff)
Lineage: Eukaryota; Metazoa; Chordata; Aves; Charadriiformes; Scolopacidae
Description: lncRNA (ENSCPUG00000003549.1)
Source: RNAcentral
AUUUCGCCUUGCAGUCUGCAGCAUACUAAUCUCAGAAACUCUAAAAAGGAGAGUAGCUUCAUAUCUCCUGAUUUGGCUCUGACUGGCCUAAUCUUUUCAAUUCCUUUUCUGACAUAGUACAUUUAGGUAAGAAAGCCUGAAGAUAAAGCUUAACUUGGAAGGCAUUCCCAGUACAACUCUGCUGGCAGCCCCUCUCAGUAGAGUGCUUGUGUCCCUUUUUCAGAGGAGAGAAAAGAGAGAAGAGUCGAAGGGCAUGCCAUUAAGUGCUACCACAACACAACCGUGGCCACACGUCCCAAUACAUCAUCUGGAGCAACCUCCUUAAGCAAUUUCCCCAGAUCCUAGAAGAAUUACCAGGGGACCUGGUGCACCAGAAGAGAUCCUUUUGUGCUCCGAAUGCGACCCCCAAAAAAGUGAGCAGUAGGCACUGAUUUACACCUCUGGUACUGUUUGAGGAAAAUUCCUCUGUAACGGGGAGAUUUCUGGAUAGACACCUACGUGGAGCCUUUGCUGGGAGAAAGGAUUCUCUCCUCCUCACAGACUGACAGGGUUUGACCUGUGGAAGAAAUCAAGGAAUAGGUUUAUGCCUGCUACUCGCCUGGAUGAUCGCCAACCAGAGGUAUUUUUAUAUACGUAAACUG